AGAGUUUGAUCCUGGCUCAGAACGAACGCUGGCGGCAGGCUUAACACAUGCAAGUCGAACGCCCCGCAAGGGGAGUGGCAGACGGGUGAGUAACGCGUGGGAACAUACCCUCCGGUUCGGAAUAGCUCAGGGAAACUUGGAUUAAUACCGGAUACGGCCUACGGGCGAAAGAUUUAUCGCCGGAGGAUUGGCCCGCGUUC
This 200-nucleotide ribosomal RNA is filed under the name uncultured bacterium. Its description in RNAcentral is "partial 16S ribosomal RNA". It matches the Rfam family "Bacterial small subunit ribosomal RNA", at positions 8 to 238 of the family's 1533-position model. The record is from RNAcentral.